RNAcentral lists this long non-coding RNA (1560 nucleotides) under Sorghum bicolor (sorghum). Its description in RNAcentral is "long non-coding RNA (SBIC_LNC000030)". The record is from RNAcentral. Lineage: Eukaryota; Viridiplantae; Streptophyta; Magnoliopsida; Poales; Poaceae.
CUCGAUCCAGCUCCAACCGGCAUCCUUCUUCACCCCAAUUUCAUCCAUCCUCCGACGCACCCUCUCCACAUCCUGCCAUUCUUCAUGCAUCGCAUAGAGGUUUGACAUCAGCACGUAGCUCGCGGAGUCUCUUUCUGAAAGCUCCAUCAGCUUGUCUGCUGCGAGUUUUCCAAUGUCAAGAUUCUUGUGCUAUGAAAAUAUCUCCUAUAACUAAAAAAUAACAAAACUAAGACUAUUUCAUCGUGCGACUUUUUUUUUGUUCCGUCGGUCCGUCCGCGACGUGAGAUCCGCGCCUCUGCCCGCGACUCUCCCUAAAAAUGCCACAAUUUAUGGGUGGUCCCAGAUAAGUCUCCCUCAAAACACCACUUCUUGCGGACCCAUAUGAAGGAUUAUCGAUUUUAUACCACUUAACUAAUAAAGAAACUACGUGAUUAUAGGAAUCAUGUCCCGAUCGUGCGACCCUCCCCCGUCGAAGGCCUGAUGUCUCUGGAGUUCCUCACCGCGGGCUAAGGCAUCGAGCACGACCGGGCCAAUCAACCACGCGGCGAACACGCGGCCGUCUGCAGCCCCGAUCCGUCUCCGUGGCCUACACCCUGCCACCUUCGUCGAUGCCAGUUUGACGAAGCUUAUGACCUUCUUUAAUCUUGGACUCCAUCGUGACUGCGAGACCGGCGGCCGACCAUGUGGCCGUCCACAGCCCCGAUCCGUCUCUGUGGCCUGUGCCCUGCCACCUCCGCCGAUGCCAGUUUGCUCUGGGUUAUUGCUAGGGUAUCCUCAGACAACCUCUAUGUUUUUGGGAUUAAUAUCACUUUAAUAUCGAUAUUUAAUUUCACAGUAUUGUUAUUUUGUCAUGUGAUCAGUAUAUUUUUAGUACAAAGUUUAGCUGUUUUGUAGCAACGCACGGGCACGAACCUAUCUUACCAAAAUAGAGAAGAAGUAAUUGUACGCAAUACAAACAAAGGCAACCAAACCACCUAAUACUAGCUAAGUUUAGACAAUACAAGCAACCAAACAAUUAUAUAUUGGCUUGCUGAAAGCAGGUUUGGACUGUCAUGGCUUAGAUUCUAGCCAGACUAGAGAUAAGCCUGGGAACCAAAUAGACCCAACAUUGUUAUCUUAUCAUGCGAUAUAUGUAUUUUUUUUAUAAAAUAUUAGCUAUCCCGUAGCAACGCACGGGCACGCUACCUAGUACAUGUAAAGUCUGCAAGUGAUAUGUUCAUCUUUGGCAUCUAAAUCUGCAUAUGAACAUCUAACUCUGUAUCUUGCAUCACAACAACGAGCUCUGCAAGCAUCUGAUAGAUGGAUGCGGAGUCUGAAUGAGACGUGUCUCUUGCAACAAAGGUGCUGACCUCGUUCUUGACCUCGAUCCAGCUCCAACCGGCAUCCUUCUUCACCCCAAUUUCAUCCAUCCUCCGACGCACCCUCUCCGCAUCCUGCCAUUCUUCAUGCAUCGCAUAGAGGUUUGACAUCAGCACGUAGCUCGCGGAGUCUCUUUCUGAAAGCUCCAUCAGCUUGUCUGUUGCGAGUUUUCCAAUGUCAAGAUUCUUGUGCAGCUUGCAA